CGGGGGCGGGCGGCGCGAGCGGCGGAGGCGGCCGGCGGGAACCGGGAACAGCACAGUGGUUUCCUGAAGGCAUGAUCAGGAGUUGGAGCCCGGUGGUGGGAAGCACCGACAGUGUCGCUGCUAUGCCCAAGGGAUACAGGCACGUCAGCCGGCUGGACACCGCAGCCUGGGAAACACUUCGAUGUGGGUCAGCGCCAGCUUUGUGAAAUAGCAGCCUAUUUUUAGAUUCAGAUUGUCUGAAACUAUUCUAAUUGUAUGUAACUAGUUAAGUCUCUCUACGGGAUGUUAUUGUAUUGUUACAGAUUACAAAAGCCUGCAGAAGUUGUUUUUUGAUCUAAAAAAUAAACAACUCAAUUCCAAGUCUCGUUAGUGAGUAUUGGCUUGUACAAAGGUAUGGCUGGUUUGUGGUUUCAUCCAAAUGUCCUGGUUUUACCUAAUCUCUAUAAACUAGAAGUGUUCAUGGUCACUGACUUGUAAGAGGUGUGUUACUCAGAACAUGACUAUAUUACCUUUUACUCCGCCUGGCUUCACGUGGCCAUAAGACCAUGUCUGUGCUCGCAUAAUGUACUCAGCUUUUCUGGGCUAUAAAUAGAUCUGGGUUAUAUUUAUUUACAUUGCGGUUUGUGUUUACUGGCUUAGGACACGUGUCUGGGGUGAACUUGCAGCUGUUUCCACUUCUCCAUAUAAAAGUUCUUGAAAAUGUACUUAGAAUGCUGUAAAAUGAGAAGAUGAUCCCAAGGUUAAUGGCCGCUUGGAAUAUUGUUUAUUUGUUGGGUUUGCAAUGUUAGGAAGGUUUUGAGGAAAAAAGAAAUAAAGUCAACACAUCUUCUCUCAUUAAUAAAGCUUGAGGAAUUUGCUCUGCAGAGAGUUCUGAGAUUAAACAGCUCUUUAUGUACUUUAAGCCACGCUGUUUUGUUUUUGUGUUUGUGUUGUUUGUUUUUUUCUCCCUCCAACAAUACACGCUUUUGUUUACUGUUUCACUGCACGUUGAACUGAUCAGGAUUUUAAGAUCAGUUAUUUUGUGCUGCAACAUCCUUGCAGUGCCAUAGCACAGUAGUUUACACUGAAAAUAAGUCACUGGCAGUUUCUUUGAAAUGAUAUAAGAAAAAAGAAUUUAGGUCAGGAAACUUUUAAUCUAAAAGGAUUUUCUCCUUUUUGAGGAAAGACUCUUAGUGUACUUUUAACUGUUUAUUAUUAAUUUUUAUUAUGACAGUCCCUAUCUGGCCCCCCUAGUGAUUAAUUAUGUGGUACUGAUUGUCACUUAAGAUGCAGUUCCUGUGUUUUAUGAUCUGAGAUGACAAAAGAUGCUUGGGAGUGUUAGAGACAGGUAGACUCCAAAGGUCUCUUAUUUCGUAUAACAGAGCAGAGUAAGAGAUGUUUAUAGGGGAGAGAGACAAAAGUGCAUAGUUACAAGGUGCCAACUAGGGAACUUAUGAAACAAAGUGGAUUGAGAAAACAGAAGGAGAUGAGGCUCCUAAAGAACUU
Empidonax traillii (willow flycatcher) is the source of this 1485-nucleotide long non-coding RNA. RefSeq lists it as uncharacterized. The record is from RefSeq and is a predicted model, not a curated record. NCBI's taxonomy places the organism in Eukaryota, Metazoa, Chordata, Aves, Passeriformes, Tyrannidae. The transcript is spliced from 2 exons.